GUGUACUAAAUAUCUCCUUUAUUUAUUUAAUAGCGUUUCUCCUUGAGACAAAAGCGUAACAGAUCCAAGAAAGACCAGCAAGACAUUAACCAGCUUGAAGUGGCCAGCAUAGCUGGUAGUGUUGCCAGCAGUGGGAGGCCAUUGAAAAGGACAGGAACAAUCGGAGGAGGUGGAUCUUCACGUAAACAAAGUGACCUGAUCAGUAUAUCUGAAUACGAUACAAGAACCGUAGACUAUGAUACUAAAUCCAUAGAUGCUCAGAGUGAAUAUUACGGUGGCCCUCCUGUAAUGGAAGAUCUUCUAUCAAUAUAUGAAGAGCUAGGCAAUGGUAUCAAGGUGACAGUUGAGCUGUUAUUAAAUGAUACUCAAGCAGCUCACGAUGAUUCUGUGGAGACCAUUACACUCGGUACCAUAUCAGUCCCUGAGGACUGCUCCUGGAUUAUGAUGGACACUAAAAUAUGCGACAUAUUUCAAGUACAAAUAAAUAAUAAUAAUUAAAAUUAUU
Amphimedon queenslandica is the source of this 505-nucleotide long non-coding RNA. RefSeq lists it as uncharacterized. The transcript is spliced from 4 exons. Lineage: Eukaryota; Metazoa; Porifera; Demospongiae; Haplosclerida; Niphatidae. The record is from RefSeq and is a predicted model, not a curated record.